This 136-nucleotide ribosomal RNA is filed under the name uncultured eukaryote. Its description in RNAcentral is "partial 18S ribosomal RNA". It matches the Rfam family "Eukaryotic small subunit ribosomal RNA", at positions 1299 to 1458 of the family's 1831-position model. The record is from RNAcentral.
UGGUGGAGUGAUUUGUCUGGUUAAUUCCGUUAACGAACGAGACCUUAGCCUGCUAACUAGUUUGUUUAAUUUCGAUUGAGAUAAGCUUCUUAGAGGGACUUUGUAAUCAAAUACAAGGAAGUUUGAGGCAAUAACA